UGUUAGUUCUUCGGCAACAAAGCUAGCGGCGAACGGGUGAGUAACACGUGGGCAACCUACCUCAUAGAGGGGAAUAGCCUUCCGAAAGGGAGAUUAAUACCGCAUAAGAUUGUAGCUUCGCAUGAAGUAGCAAUUAAAGGAGUAAUCCGCUAUGAGAUGGGCCCGCGGCGCAUUAGCUAGUUGGUGAGGUAACGGCUCACCAAGGCGACGAUGCGUAGCCGACCUGAGAGGGUGAUCGGCCACAUUGGGACUGAGACACGGCCCAGACUCCUACGGGAGGCAGCAGUGGGGAAUAUUGCACAAUGGGGGAAACCCUGAUGCAGCAACGCCGCGUGAGUGAUGACGGCCUUCGGGUUGUAAAGCUCUGUCUUCAGGGACGAUAAUGACGGUACCUGAGGAGGAAGCCACGGCUAACUACGUGCCAGCAGCCGCGGUAAUACGUAGGUGGCGAGCGUUGUCCGGAUUUACUGGGCGUAAAGGGAGCGUAGGCNGCCUUUUAAGUGANAUGUGAGAUACUCNGGCUCAACUUGAGUGCUGCAUUUCAAACUGGAAGUCUA
This 557-nucleotide ribosomal RNA is filed under the name uncultured bacterium. RNAcentral's name for it is "bacterial SSU rRNA". It matches the Rfam family "Bacterial small subunit ribosomal RNA", at positions 70 to 643 of the family's 1533-position model. The record is from RNAcentral.